GACGAACGCUGGCGGCGUGCUUAACACAUGCAAGUCGAACGGUAAGGCCCUUCGGGGUACACGAGUGGCGAACGGGUGAGUAACACGUGGGUGAUCUGCCCUGCACUUUGGGAUAAGCCUGGGAAACUGGGUCUAAUACCGAAUAGGACCAUGGACUUCACGGUUUGUGGUGGAAAGCUUUUGCGGUGUGGGAUGGGCCCGCGGCCUAUCAGCUUGUUGGUGGGGUAAUGGCCUACCAAGGCGACGACGGGUAGCCGGCCUGAGAGGGUGACCGGCCACACUGGGACUGAGAUACGGCCCAGACUCCUACGGGAGGCAGCAGUGGGGAAUAUUGCACAAUGGGCGCAAGCCUGAUGCAGCGACGCCGCGUGAGGGAUGACGGCCUCGGUUGUAACGUACUUCUA
RNAcentral lists this ribosomal RNA (404 nucleotides) under uncultured bacterium. RNAcentral describes it as "bacterial SSU rRNA". It matches the Rfam family "Bacterial small subunit ribosomal RNA", at positions 28 to 435 of the family's 1533-position model. The record is from RNAcentral.